Long non-coding RNA from Equus caballus (horse), 1032 nucleotides. RefSeq lists it as uncharacterized. NCBI's taxonomy places the organism in Eukaryota, Metazoa, Chordata, Mammalia, Perissodactyla, Equidae. The record is from RefSeq and is a predicted model, not a curated record.
GGCAGCUCUCCCUGAAAGCAGGCGGUUGGGGAGCGGCAGGGAAGCAGCGCUCAGGGGAUGGCAAUCCCAAGAGAAGGACAGCUGCCACGGGGAGCCCAAGGGUCUGGAACAGGAAGCGUCUGGAAGCGGCGGGUGUAGCCUAUACCCAUUCGUGAGGCCCCCACGUGCCCAAUGACGUGAAUAUCCAUGCUCAUCAGACUUCUAGUGACUCUCUCAUUCUGGAACAUGAGUGGUGUGCAAACUUCAAAGAGCUUAUAGGGCCGAAGUUCUAUUUUUCUGGCUCAACUCAAGGUUCUGAAACCAAAGGAAGCAUUAAUGCCCCACCCUGGAAAUGCGGUUUAUGUUUCAGUUCUCUCCAGUGGCAUAAAUACACUUAGCCAAACAGAAUGAGCAGUUUGCAGAACGGCUUAGCAUACUGGGCUCCGCUCCCUCCUGCGGAGCUCCUGGCAGGUGCAAAUCCCUCUGAGGUCACCUCUCUUGACUCCUGGGUGGGGCGUUGGGUUUGCUAGGUUUGGGGGACAAAACUUGCUCCCACACCCCAAACAGCCUUCUGGGCCCUGGGGAGAAUUCUCAGGCCCCAGAAUUCUGCUAAUGCUGCUUCCUCCUACGCUCCACCCAAAAGUGACCAUUUUCAGUCUGUCCUGGACUUGAGUGCCCUCUGAGCGAGCACCAGCCUCAGCACACACAUUGCCAGGAGCGUGGGAAUGAGUGGAGAGAGCAGUGUGGUACAAUGGGAAGAGGUUUGAAUCUGCAGUUGGGAGAACUGGUUUCAAGCGUUAGCUCUGCCCCUUACCUGCUUAUUUAUUCAUCUGUGUAUUUGCUUCUUUCCCUUGGGAAAAUCAGUCAACCUCUCUGAGCCUCUGCUUCCUUAUUUGUAAAAUGGGAAUAAUAAUAAAACCUUGAUUGCCUGUGGCUCCUGGGAGACAAUGGGAGAGCAGAGGAACUCUUCAAAAUUCAAUUUCAUGCAGAACCCCAAUAUAGAAAACAGAUUUAAAUGGUAUUUUAUAUGAAUAAAUGUAUUUGAUAAGUUAA